RNAcentral lists this ribosomal RNA (1358 nucleotides) under Streptococcus salivarius. RNAcentral describes it as "bacterial SSU rRNA". It matches the Rfam family "Bacterial small subunit ribosomal RNA", at positions 23 to 1366 of the family's 1533-position model. Lineage: Bacteria; Bacillati; Bacillota; Bacilli; Lactobacillales; Streptococcaceae. The record is from RNAcentral.
CUCAGGACGAACGCUGGCGGCGUGCCUAAUACAUGCAAGUAGAACGCUGAAGAGAGGAGCUUGCUCUUCUUGGAUGAGUUGCGAACGGGUGAGUAACGCGUAGGUAACCUGCCUUGUAGCGGGGGAUAACUAUUGGAAACGAUAGCUAAUACCGCAUAACAAUGGAUGACACAUGUCAUUUAUUUGAAAGGGGCAAUUGCUCCACUACAAGAUGGACCUGCGUUGUAUUAGCUAGUAGGUGAGGUAACGGCUCACCUAGGCGACGAUACAUAGCCGACCUGAGAGGGUGAUCGGCCACACUGGGACUGAGACACGGCCCAGACUCCUACGGGAGGCAGCAGUAGGGAAUCUUCGGCAAUGGGGGCAACCCUGACCGAGCAACGCCGCGUGAGUGAAGAAGGUUUUCGGAUCGUAAAGCUCUGUUGUAAGUCAAGAACGAGUGUGAGAGUGGAAAGUUCACACUGUGACGGUAGCUUACCAGAAAGGGACGGCUAACUACGUGCCAGCAGCCGCGGUAAUACGUAGGUCCCGAGCGUUGUCCGGAUUUAUUGGGCGUAAAGCGAGCGCAGGCGGUUUGAUAAGUCUGAAGUUAAAGGCUGUGGCUCAACCAUAGUUCGCUUUGGAAACUGUCAAACUUGAGUGCAGAAGGGGAGAGUGGAAUUCCAUGUGUAGCGGUGAAAUGCGUAGAUAUAUGGAGGAACACCGGUGGCGAAAGCGGCUCUCUGGUCUGUAACUGACGCUGAGGCUCGAAAGCGUGGGGAGCGAACAGGAUUAGAUACCCUGGUAGUCCACGCCGUAAACGAUGAGUGCUAGGUGUUGGAUCCUUUCCGGGAUUCAGUGCCGCAGCUAACGCAUUAAGCACUCCGCCUGGGGAGUACGACCGCAAGGUUGAAACUCAAAGGAAUUGACGGGGGCCCGCACAAGCGGUGGAGCAUGUGGUUUAAUUCGAAGCAACGCGAAGAACCUUACCAGGUCUUGACAUCCCGAUGCUAUUCUAGAGAUAGAAAGUUACUUCGGUACAUCGGUGACAGGUGGUGCAUGGUUGUCGUCAGCUCGUGUCGUGAGAUGUUGGGUUAAGUCCCGCAACGAGCGCAACCCCUAUUGUUAGUUGCCAUCAUUCAGUUGGGCACUCUAGCGAGACUGCCGGUAAUAAACCGGAGGAAGGUGGGGAUGACGUCAAAUCAUCAUGCCCCUUAUGACCUGGGCUACACACGUGCUACAAUGGUUGGUACAACGAGUUGCGAGUCGGUGACGGCAAGCUAAUCUCUUAAAGCCAAUCUCAGUUCGGAUUGUAGGCUGCAACUCGCCUACAUGAAGUCGGAAUCGCUAGUAAUCGCGGAUCAGCACGCCGCGGUGAA